Molecule: non-coding RNA, 58 nt
Organism: Salmo salar (Atlantic salmon)
Lineage: Eukaryota; Metazoa; Chordata; Actinopteri; Salmoniformes; Salmonidae
Source: Rfam
UAGCUCAGUUGGUAGAGCAUGGUGUUUGCAAUGCUAGAGUUGUGGGUUCAACUCCCAC